RNAcentral lists this transfer RNA (71 nucleotides) under Alosa alosa (allis shad). RNAcentral's name for it is "tRNA-OTHER". The record is from RNAcentral. Lineage: Eukaryota; Metazoa; Chordata; Actinopteri; Clupeiformes; Clupeidae.
AGCCGUGGCCCACUGGUUAGCACUCUGGACUUGUAACCGGAGGGUUGCAGGUUCAAGCCCGGCCGCGGCUG